RNAcentral lists this ribosomal RNA (586 nucleotides) under Priotrochus obscurus. RNAcentral describes it as "partial 16S ribosomal RNA". It matches the Rfam family "Bacterial large subunit ribosomal RNA", at positions 1816 to 2597 of the family's 2925-position model. The record is from RNAcentral. Lineage: Eukaryota; Metazoa; Mollusca; Gastropoda; Trochida; Trochidae.
GUCUCUUUGUUAGAAGAAAUAUCAAGAGUGAAAUAAGGAGUCGAACCUGCCCGGUGACUUAAAGUUAAACGGCCGCGGUACCCUAACCGUGCAAAGGUAGCAUAAUCAUUUGCCUUUUAAUUGGAGGCUAGUAUGAAUGGUUUGACGAGGGUUGUGCUGUCUCUACUAGAUUAGUUGGAAAUUAACUUUUAGGUGAAGAGGCCUAAAUAUACUUAAGGGACAAGAAGACCCUAUUGAGCUUGAGUUUUGUUUUGAAUGGUGGCUUAGAAGUAUUAGUUGUUGCUUCAAGUUGUUGUGAAUAAUUUAUAUCAUCAAUUGAGGACUUAUCUUUGGUUGGGGCGACUGAGGAACAAAAAAAGCUUCCUUUAUAUGUUUAAAAGUGUUGUGUUGUGCAAUAUCUAGGUAUUCUUACAUGUUUGAUUGAUCCAGAAUUUUUGAUCAAAGGAAUAAGUUACCAUAGGGAUAACAGCGUAAUCUUUCCGGAGAGAUCUAAUCGAAGGAAGGGUUUGCGACCUCGAUGUUGGACUAAGAUAUCCUGAGGGUGCAGAAGCUCUCGAUGGUUGGUCUGUUCGACCAUUAAAAUCUU